GCUUCAUAGCUCAGUAGGUAGAGUGCAUCCAUGGUAAGGAAUGAGGUCACCGGUUCGAUCCGCGUUGGAAGCUCCA
This 76-nucleotide transfer RNA is filed under the name Paenibacillus mucilaginosus. RNAcentral's name for it is "tRNA-Thr". Lineage: Bacteria; Bacillati; Bacillota; Bacilli; Caryophanales; Paenibacillaceae. The record is from RNAcentral.